Saccostrea cuccullata (small rock oyster) is the source of this 387-nucleotide long non-coding RNA. RefSeq lists it as uncharacterized. The record is from RefSeq and is a predicted model, not a curated record. The transcript is spliced from 3 exons. Lineage: Eukaryota; Metazoa; Mollusca; Bivalvia; Ostreida; Ostreidae.
CCUGUGCUCGCGUGGAUAUUAUUUUUGGACCGCUUUUUUGCGAUGCAAUGUCGAUUAUUCAUAUAAUUUCGUUUUUAUAUUCCUAUUGUGCUAAAGUUAUCGCAACAGGUUAAAUAAACAUAACGGAUUUUUGGGAAAAAAGUGGAUAUUUGUCUUGAUGCAUUUAUCACCGUUAUUUUAGGAACAAUAAAUAUGUUCAUGGUGUGUUACAGCAAAAAAAGAACUUUUGACCUGUCCAGGAAUAGUACUGUAUCAGAAACCUGCUGACAAGGAUGUGUUUUCGGUAGGCCAAUGACCCUCUGUCUUGGAGUGUCCACUGAAACGUUUUUGUACGUGUGCCUUAAAAAUCAAACCGCUUAAGGUACUGCGACGGAUAAAUAAAUGCUG